GUUGCUAAACCACCCCCUCCUCAGGAGCGUCAGUGCUUUGAAUGCAACCAAAUGGGGCACUGGAAAAGGAACUGCCCACAGUAUCUAGCCAAGCUGAAGGCGAACAAGGCCAAUAACAUUGGCACUUCUUCAGGAGCCUGAAAAGUGGAGGAAGCUGAAACAAGGCGACAUGGAACUCAUCGUGGGUGAUGG
Long non-coding RNA from Helianthus annuus (common sunflower), 192 nucleotides. RefSeq lists it as uncharacterized. Lineage: Eukaryota; Viridiplantae; Streptophyta; Magnoliopsida; Asterales; Asteraceae. The transcript has 2 exons. The record is from RefSeq and is a predicted model, not a curated record.